UCUAAACAUCUCAUAAUUUCAUCAUCUUCAUAGUCCUUCGCUGACUUGCUGCAGCAAGUUCCAGUCUGUGUUGUACUGGGGAGCUGAGAACUGGGCCCAGAACCUCUCACGUGUCUGUCUACCAGUGCUGAACUGAAUGGGAAUAAUCACCUCCCUCGACCUGCUGGUGACCCUCCUCCUAAUGCAGCCCAGGGCCUGCUGGCAUCAUCUUGAGAGCCACAUUUCCUCAAGUCUUUGCCAUGAGUGAAGGUGAAUGGAGUGUCCUUUUGAACAUUCUUCUAAGGAUCCUGUUGGAGCUACUUGUAUUGGAAGGAGCCACCACUACCCUAGCCUGGACUGUGAAAAAUGCAGAUUUGCCAUGCUGAUCUGAAGGAUGUUCUCCACUCUGGCUCUGGAGUUGUAUUGCAUUGUACACAGUACUAGGGAACCUUCAGCCUCUCUUAAAGAUCUGUAAGACAGAUAAAAAUGGAACUCUUAUUCUUGUGGAGAUCCUCAGGGAACAAGUGCAGAAGAAAGGCACUGUGAUAAAGAACAUGUGGCUGGUGAGUGGUGCUGGCAGAUGGACGGGGCUGCUGCUCUGCAGUGAUCAAACACCUUCCCAGCAAGGCUUUUGCCAGCUCUUGUCUACACCAAAGCAACGUCAGGCACAUGAGUGAGAAGUCAUGAGCUCCCAGGAAAUUCCAGCAAGUGCAGAAGGCUGCAAUAUUUCAUCUCUCCUGCACAGACAAGGACUAGUACCCUCUGAGUGUUUUCCUACGGGGCUGACUCCAGCCAAGCCUGUUGUCUCCAAAGCACUCAGUAGCCUGGGUCCCAAACUCAUCUGAAGUUCCUGUGUGAUGCCCAGCUUUGCUCCUCACUUGGCAGAGAACUUCCCAUAAUGGCAUAUCCCAUCUUAGGAGCAAUGAGCUCCCCUGGAAACUAUGAACAUUACAAGCCUGCUUCUUUUGUGCCAAGUGCAAGACCUCUGCUUUAAGCCUCACUUUUUUCUACUUUUUUUUUCAUGGCUGUCAA
Molecule: long non-coding RNA, 1011 nt
Organism: Zonotrichia leucophrys gambelii
Lineage: Eukaryota; Metazoa; Chordata; Aves; Passeriformes; Passerellidae
Exons: 4
Source: RefSeq, a predicted model, not a curated record